RNAcentral lists this ribosomal RNA (467 nucleotides) under uncultured bacterium. Its description in RNAcentral is "partial 16S ribosomal RNA". It matches the Rfam family "Bacterial small subunit ribosomal RNA", at positions 28 to 506 of the family's 1533-position model. The record is from RNAcentral.
GACGAACGCUGGCGGCGUGCUUAACACAUGCAAGUCGAACGGAAAGGCCCUGCUUUUGUGGGGUGCUCGAGUGGCGAACGGGUGAGUAACACGUGAGUAACCUGCCCUUGACUUUGGGAUAACUUCAGGAAACUGGGGCUAAUACCGGAUAGGAGCUCCUGCUGCAUGGUGGGGGUUGGAAAGUUUCGGCGGUUGGGGAUGGACUCGCGGCUUAUCAGCUUGUUGGUGGGGUAGUGGCUUACCAAGGCUUUGACGGGUAGCCGGCCUGAGAGGGUGACCGGCCCCAUGGGGACUGGGAUACGGCCCAGACUCCUCCGGGGGGCAGCAGUGGGGAAUAUUGCACAAUGGGCGGAAGCCGGAUGCAGCAACGCCGCGUGCGGGAUGACGGCCUUCGGGUUGUAACCCGCUUUCGCCUGUGACGAGGCGUGAGUGACGGUAAUGGGUAAAGAAGCACCGGCUACCUACGU